This is a long non-coding RNA of Pongo abelii (Sumatran orangutan), 2126 nucleotides long. The record is from Ensembl. NCBI's taxonomy places the organism in Eukaryota, Metazoa, Chordata, Mammalia, Primates, Hominidae.
CUCUGGCUGCAGCCAGAGAUCCAGGUCUGGUUCUUACUAGUCCUAAAGGCCCAGGCUCUGUGGCCCUGUGUUCUGCAGGUAUUGGGAGAUCCACAGCUAAGACACCGGGACCUCCUGGAAGCCAAAAAUGACAUAUCAUUUACAAUGUGCUAGAGCAGCCUCUAUGAGGGGAUGUCUCCUUCAUUUGUACUCCACUUGCUGUAACACCAAAGGAUGCAGAGCCAGGUGGAUCCUACCUAGAAUCUGCAGAUAACGUCUGGCCUCUGCCUGGGAUUUAUAAAAAAGGACUGGACUUUGGAUAGAGAAUGUACAGAAAACUAAGAAAAGACAUUUUCUGCAUUGUGCGAUGUCAACCUAGACAGCUUACAGCUCCCAUUUGGGACUGUGGCUCUGUGAGAUUUUUCACAUCUUGUUCAUUGACCUGCUACAGUGAUGUGAGAGCCUCCAGGAGGAAAUAGAAUCUGAUGACAGAAUAUGUGUAAGUGUAAAAAAAAAAGCAUCUUGUGAGUGAGAGAACAAGGCCACAAAGGAUCCAGAGCUAUGACCACAACUGUAUUUACCUGUAAAAUGUGAUACUGGAGUAGAGUAUUUGUGUUCUUUCUCUUACACAAGAGCUAGCAAGUCAGGACAGGUGAUCCAGGUUCUGGAGCUCCACCAAGGCAGUUCUAUUUCCUAUUUAGAAUCAGCCUGAGUCUCUCCAGCCUGGCUUGUCAUUGGGCCAUCAGCCCCAGGUCACUGGGAAUUCUCUCACAAUCAUCUAGUGGUCUUUGAGGGAUUUGAGGAUGUCCAGAGCAGAAUUGUGUCAGGCUGACAAGAGUGGUUAAUUCUGCUUCUUUCUCAGAAAGAAAAGAAAAGUGUAAGAGAAAUGAAUCAUCCUGUUUGUUCAUCCCCUCAUACAAGAGGUGUCUUUGGUUGCUACUCAAAUGAGAGUUUUUCCAGUUUCCUGGUACUGGGAUGAUAAACAAGGAGGAGAUCUGGAGACCCAAAUACAUAAACUAGUAGCUUCCAUUUCAUAUGGCCGUUAAAAUAAAACAUGAAGCAGCCAUGGUUCCUAUAAUCCAGAAACUUUUAGUCUAGACUAGCAACUAGAUGAAUACUUGAAUUAUGCAUCAUAUGGUUGGUAUAACAAAUAGAUAUGUCCAAAAUAUUGGGCAUUAUUUGCCACUUUAUAUUGUUGUGACUUCUGAUGUCUAUACUUGAAAGGAUAUCUAUGAACAGAAGAAUUGUUGUUAUAAUUUCGUUUUUUUUUUUUUGAUAUGGAAUCUCCCUCUGUCACCCACGCUGGAGUUCAGUGGCACAAUCUCGACUCACCACAAACUCUGACAUUUGGGUUCAAGUGAUUCUCCUGCCUCAGCCUCCCAAGUAGCUGGGAUUACAGGUGCCUGCCACUACACCCAGCUAAUUUUUGUAAUUUUAGUAGAGACGGGGUUUCAAAAUCUUGGUUAGUCUGGUCUUGAACUCCUGACCUCGUGAUCCACCUACCUCAGCUUCCCAAAGUGUUGAGAUUACGGGCAUGAGCCACCAGGCCCAGCCGUAUUUCUAUUUCUUUCAUCCUGUUACGUGUACAUAUUUGUUUCCUAAUAAACUUACCCUAGAAAACCUUAAGGGAUUUGUUUAAAUUUCAUAUUAGCACAUAAUCUAAAGUUGACAGGGCAGUGGCUAGAAAAGGUUAAAAUUAUACAGACUCUGGGAUUUAAGUUUCUUUUAGGUAAGUUUUGAAAAAACAAAACUGGAAAUACCCCAGUGGCAUAGAGAACAGAAUUCUACAUAGGAUCCACUUCCUGUCCCAGUUCACUUGAGAUUCACCCUUUUGGAGGCCUAAUUUAGGUCUGAUCCUACCCUGGAGUCUUGUCUCACAGAACUGUGUAGAAGAGGUCAGAGUUUUGGCUGGUGAAUCCUGUUGUCUUUCUAGAGCUGGUGCUUACAAUUUCCUGAAAUCCAAAAGCAGAUAAAUAGGAAAAGUAAAUUAUGUGUUAUAGGGUCUUAGUUUUUAAAUUUUAUAUUAAAACUAGUGUUUGCAGAGACAUUCUAUUUAGGAACUUGUUUUCCAUUCCUGCAGAUCCAGUAAUUGCUCCACAAGUUACAAAAAUGUAAAUAUAAACAGAAUAAAAUUUUCUCUGGACUAC